This 279-nucleotide ribosomal RNA is filed under the name uncultured bacterium. RNAcentral describes it as "partial 16S ribosomal RNA". It matches the Rfam family "Bacterial small subunit ribosomal RNA", at positions 15 to 296 of the family's 1533-position model. The record is from RNAcentral.
GAUCCUGGCUCAGGAUGAACGCUGGCGGCGCGCCUAACACAUGCAAGUCGAACGGCACCCACCCUCGGGUGGAAGCGAGUGGCGAACGGCUGAGUAACACGUGGAGAACCUGCCCCCUCCCCCGGGAUAGCCGCCCGAAAGGACGGGUAAUACCGGAUACCCCGGGGUGCCGCAUGGCACCCCGGCUAAAGCCCCGACGGGAGGGGAUGGCUCCGCGGCCCAUCAGGUAGACGGCGGGGUGACGGGCCCACCGUGCCGACAACGGGUAGCCGGGUUGAG